This 303-nucleotide ribosomal RNA is filed under the name Pseudomonas sp. PGPPP3. Its description in RNAcentral is "partial 16S ribosomal RNA". It matches the Rfam family "Bacterial small subunit ribosomal RNA", at positions 1 to 306 of the family's 1533-position model. The record is from RNAcentral. Lineage: Bacteria; Pseudomonadati; Pseudomonadota; Gammaproteobacteria; Pseudomonadales; Pseudomonadaceae.
GAACUGAAGAGUUUGAUCAUGGCUCAGAUUGAACGCUGGCGGCAGGCCUAACACAUGCAAGUCGAGCGGAUGAGAAGAGCUUGCUCUUCGAUUCAGCGGCGGACGGGUGAGUAAUGCCUAGGAAUCUGCCUGGUAGUGGGGGACAACGUUUCGAAAGGAACGCUAAUACCGCAUACGUCCUACGGGAGAAAGCAGGGGACCUUCGGGCCUUGCGCUAUCAGAUGAGCCUAGGUCGGAUUAGCUAGUUGGUGAGGUAAUGGCUCACCAAGGCUACGAUCCGUAACUGGUCUGAGAGGAUGAUCA